This 247-nucleotide ribosomal RNA is filed under the name uncultured bacterium. RNAcentral's name for it is "partial small subunit ribosomal RNA". It matches the Rfam family "Bacterial small subunit ribosomal RNA", at positions 26 to 285 of the family's 1533-position model. The record is from RNAcentral.
AGAAUCAACGCUGGCGGCGUGCCUAACACAUGCAAGUCGAACGAGAAAGUGGAGCAAUCCACGAGUAAAGUGGCGCACGGGUGAGUAACACGUGACUAACCUACCCUUGAGUGGGGGAUAACCUAGGGAAACCUGGGCUAAUACCGCAUAAUACCUACGGGUCAAAGGAGCAAUUCGCUUAAGCGAGGGGGUCGCGGCCGAUUAGUUAGUUGGCGGGGGUAAUGGCCCACCAAGACGAUGAUCGAUA